This 301-nucleotide ribosomal RNA is filed under the name uncultured bacterium. RNAcentral describes it as "partial 16S ribosomal RNA". It matches the Rfam family "Bacterial small subunit ribosomal RNA", at positions 509 to 807 of the family's 1533-position model. The record is from RNAcentral.
CAGCCGCCACGGUAAUACAGAGGAUGCAAGCGUUAUCCGGAAUGAUUGGGCGUAAGGCGUGCGCAGGCGGUUGUGUAAGACAGGUGUGAAAUCCCCGGGCUUAACCUGGGAACUGCGCUUGUGACUGCACAGCUAGAGUAUGGCAGAGGGGGGUGGAAUUCCACGUGUAGCAGUGAAAUGCGCAGAGAUGUGGAGGAACACCAGUGGCGAAGGCGACUCUCUGGUCUGUAACUGACGCUGAGGAGCGAAAGCGUGGGGAGCGAACAGGAUUAGAUACCCCUGUAGUCCCUGUCUCUUAUAC